CGAGGGAAGUACUGGGUGAAAUAAACCUUUCCUUUUUCCUUGGGAGAUGGUACUGAUAAAGAAGAUGAGAAUAUCUACUGAAGACGGUAUUUGCGGCAAGAAUUUAGGGAUCCUGUAGGAUCUGGGUUAAGGACAGGGAUUAAGUUUUCUGGGAAAAUUUGCAGAUUCUAGGAGAAGAAUAAUACUAAGAAGAAGGGAGAGAGGGCUAAGAGGCUUAAGAUAAAGAAAGCAAAAGAGAACGAUUGAUGAUUGAUGAUUGAUGAUUGAUGAACUGAAGGGAAAUGUG
RNAcentral lists this unclassified non-coding RNA (286 nucleotides) under Hevea brasiliensis (rubber tree). The record is from RNAcentral. Lineage: Eukaryota; Viridiplantae; Streptophyta; Magnoliopsida; Malpighiales; Euphorbiaceae.